Molecule: ribosomal RNA, 429 nt
Filed under: Acidobacteriota bacterium
Lineage: Bacteria; Pseudomonadati; Acidobacteriota
Description: Acidobacteria bacterium partial 16S ribosomal RNA
Rfam family: Bacterial small subunit ribosomal RNA
Source: RNAcentral
UGGGGAAUUUUGGACAAUGGGGGAAACCCUGAUCCAGCCAUCCCGCGUGUGCGAUGAAGGCCUUCGGGUUGUAAAGCACUUUUUGCAGGAAAGAAACGUCAUGGGUUAAUACCCCGUGAAACUGACGGUACCUGCAGAAUAAGCACCGGCUAACUACGUGCCAGCAGCCGCGGUAAUACGUAGGGUGCAAGCGUUAAUCGGAAUUACUGGGCGUAAAGCGUGCGCAGGCGGUUCGGAAAGAAAGAUGUGAAAUCCCAGAGCUCAACUUUGGAACUGCAUUUUUAACUACCGGGCUAGGGUGAGUCAGAGGGAGGUGGAAUUCCGCGUGUAGCAGUGAAAUGCGUAGAUAUGCGGAGGAACACCGAUGGCGAAGGCAGCCUCCUGGGAUAACACUGACGCUCAUGCACGAAAGCGUGGGGAGCAAACAGG